CGUAUAGAUUGCUUGCUUGUUAACCUCAGAACUCUAUGUAGCGUCAGUUAUAAUUGAAAUUAUAUCCUCUUUGUGAACUACAGAAUGUAGAGACCAAUAUCCUAAUGUUUGCACGCUCUGGUACGACUUCUGUGAUCCUGGUGCGUUGAAAUACAAGGUCCUAAGACAGUCAGUGGAAUUUAUAAAAGCAAACUGUCCAGUUACAUGCAAAAAAUGCCAACCGGGACAAAGACUGCUGAAGUCUUCAAGAAACCUUAACGAACGACUAUAGAUGUCUCUCUGUAAAAUGGAAAACCACAAACGAGGGAACCUCUGUAACACGUUUAACGUCGUCGGAAACAGAAAAGAACGAGAGAUGAACUGCCAAACAAUGUGCAUUACACUGUGCCGUCCCGUGUGCUACCGUUUUUAUCGAUAAUUAAAAUAAGGCGUCCGCUCUCUGCGCCAAGAGGAAGAAUACGAGAAGUUUUUUUUUAGAUGUUAACAUUUUCAUUUCAUGCAAUCAGAAAACGAAUUUUGAAAGACGGUCGUUACUUUUCGACUUUUCCUCCCAGAGGAGAGAGUGACCUCAAAUCAAAAAGGAAAAAUGGCUCGCAUCGAAAAUUUGAAAAUAAGCAAAAGAGAUAACAGGUGAUAAUAGGACACUUGCCGUAAGGUCGACAGAUUUGAGAUCGCUGCUUACGCCAGAUUAAGAAAAGUGAAGGUUAUUAGCCAGCAAGAAGUUUAUUGCAGUCGCUACGAGAGAUGGUCGCUUCUAAGAGUCCCAUGUAAAUAUUCUCGCAACAGGCAAUAUGUUGAUACUUGCGAAAAGACAUAAUUGCUAACGAAGGACCUCUGUAAAUAUUAUUAUGUAAAGAGUAAUGAAUGUGACAUUAAACAAGAAAAAAUGGGAGUCA
Molecule: long non-coding RNA, 896 nt
Organism: Pocillopora damicornis (cauliflower coral)
Lineage: Eukaryota; Metazoa; Cnidaria; Anthozoa; Scleractinia; Pocilloporidae
Source: RefSeq, a predicted model, not a curated record